Molecule: non-coding RNA, 73 nt
Organism: Salvelinus namaycush (lake trout)
Lineage: Eukaryota; Metazoa; Chordata; Actinopteri; Salmoniformes; Salmonidae
Source: the annotation of a RefSeq genome assembly
CCUUUGAUAGCUCAGUUGGUAUAGCGGAGGACUGUAGAUCCUUAGGUCGCUGGUUCAAAUCCGGCUCUUAGGA